RNAcentral lists this ribosomal RNA (453 nucleotides) under uncultured Porphyromonadaceae bacterium. RNAcentral describes it as "partial 16S ribosomal RNA". It matches the Rfam family "Bacterial small subunit ribosomal RNA", at positions 341 to 792 of the family's 1533-position model. Lineage: Bacteria; Pseudomonadati; Bacteroidota; Bacteroidia; Bacteroidales; Porphyromonadaceae. The record is from RNAcentral.
ACGGGAGGCAGCAGUGAGGAAUAUUGGUCAAUGGGCGGAAGCCUGAACCAGCCAAGUCGCGUGAAGGAUGAAGGUAUUAUGUAUUGUAAACUUCUUUAGCUGUGGAGCAAUAAUCGCCAUGCAUGGCGAGAUGAGAGUACACAGAGAAUAAGGAUCGGCUAACUCCGUGCCAGCAGCCGCGGUAAUACGGAGGAUCCGAGCGUUAUCCGGAUUUAUUGGGUUUAAAGGGUGCGCAGGCGGUCGAUUAAGUCAGUGGUCAAAUCGUGAGGCUCAACCUCAUCCCGCCAUUGAUACUGGUUGACUUGAUUUCGGUCGAGGCAGGCGGAAUUCGCCGUGUAGCGGUGAAAUGCAUAGAUAUGGCGAAGAACUCCGAUUGCGUAGGCAGCUUACCAGACCGACAAUGACGCUCAUGCACGAAAGUGCGGGGAUCGAACAGGAUUAGAUACCCUGGUA